CGGAGCUGCUCAGAGGGGAGGGGCAGCGAGCAGGUGCCACGUCCACACCGGGUGAGGCGUGAGGUGAGGGCUCCCCCGCGCCGCCCUGGCGUCCAGGUGGUGAGGGCUGCACGGAAACGUGGACUUCGGCAGAACAUGUGUGCGCCACGGAGCGGCUGCGUGCAGCCCGCAGUUUAGAAACCCAUUUUUGGAGCAAGCAAGCAGACUGAAUGGAAGUGGUGAGAAAAUUAAUCAGCAAAAUCUUCUGAAAUUGGGUGCCUUCUUCUUAAAAGUUUUCUCCCUGUAAUCCUAGGUGCUGUCAGGGAGUAAUAAUUAUUUCCCAUAAACAGCUGGCUCAGUGAUCUAUUUUGCAUGCUGGGGGAAAAGAACUAGCUGUGAUGAGCUCUCCAAAGCUUUUCUCACUAAUGAUGUCUGUGAUACACACUCACACAAAGACCCACAUACAUUCGAAAGGAAGAUACUGCAGAAGAAACUCAUUUACAGUCUUGAUCUACCACAUGCAUUCUGCAGGGUGUUUCAAUGUCACAAGAAAGCAUAAAGAAACCCAUCUAAGUUCCUGUUUGUUUCAGAUGCUCCUUGAAGAUGGGAGAGAGAGCUGGAGCUCAUCUGUCCUGGCAUCAGAGAACCGUGACUCCGGAGGGUGGGAGAGGCAGGCCCGAGUCAUCUCUGCCCUGGGGCCCCUUCCCAAUGUGUCCUGUCUUCCUCCCUAGUGAGGGGAGUCUAAUUUAGAGUGGGAAGUGGAGAGGAAUGCUGGCCAGGUGGGAAGUUGGGGGGCUGCGCCAUGACCCGCCACACUUGGCUGGGUGGCUCCAGGGAACAUCCUCUGCCUCCCCUCCAGUGCAGGAGUGAGUGAAGCAGCUGCCUCUGUGGCUGCCGACGCUGGCUACGCACAGCAAGGGAGGAGGCUGAGACAUGAGGAAACCUGGCCCUCUAGGCGGGCACUUUGGAAGCUCGCUGGCAUGCUGCUGGAGACCCACCGGCAACCACGAGGACAAGUGGGGACCUGGUGACAUUCCAGCUCUGCCAGCCCUCCCAGAAUAAAGGGGAAUGGCAGCAAAUCAAGAGGCGGAGGCGUUUCAAUGCCAUUUUGCUGUGCUGACUUUUCCUUUUGGACAUUGCGAACAAGAGAAGAAAGCAGCUCCCUUAACUGUAGUACAAAAAAAAUUCAGAAAAGAGGGCAUUUUAAGGGUAACAUUUUUCUUGCUGCAAUGACUCAUGGAAGACAGAAAGUGAGAGGCUUGCUGAAAGGCGAAAGACAGAGCCAAAAAAGCAAAACUCAAGUCCUAUUUACAAAACGACGGGCCACAACGGACUCUCCAGUAACAUGAUAUUGUACAUUGUCCUUUAAAUCCUGAACAGAUCUUCCUUCCAAAUCCUUUACUGCCUCAGAGUUGUUAAUCACAAAAUGAAGGUUUCUGCCACCAAAAAAAAUUGACCACAGAUGUUUCCAGAAAAGAAAGAGGAAAGAACAGCCAUUCACCACGCCCGUGUGGGGUGUUGAGGCUGCAAUGCUGAGGUCCCUGAAAACACAGGCAUGAGCAGUGCUUGUCCUUUCCAGGGACCCGAGGACAGCGAGUCACAGAGCGGCUGCAGGUGCAAGGCCAUUCCUCAUAGAAACCGUGUGUCCAGGUGUCAGGCAUAUUUGUCAUGGUUCCUCAAAGGGGAAACAUUCAUUUAUAAUUUUGAAAAACAAAAACAAAAGAACGACAUGAAAGGAGAGGCCUUAACUAAAAAGAACAAUUCACAAUUGCCAAGCAGUUGAGGAGGUCUUAUAAGAAACUCUGGGAGUUAAACAAGAAGUCAAAAGGGCUGGAUUUCACGGGCAGCGUCCUCCUUACCUUCUUGUGCUAGAAGGCUGGAUCUGGGGCUUUUCAAAGGCAAUGAAGACAGGCCAGGCACGGUGGCUCAGGGCUGUAAUCCCAGCACUUUGGGAGGCUGAGGUGGGUGGAUCACCUGAGGUCAGGAGUUCAAGACCGUCCUGGCCAACAUGGAGAAACGCUGUCUCUAUUAAAAAUACAAAAAUUAGCUGGGUGUGGUGGCAGGUGCCUGUAGUUCCAGCUACCCGUGAGCCUGAGGCAGGGGAAUCACUUGAUUCCCGCCAGGAGGCGGAGGUUGCAGUGAGCCGAGAUCCCACCGCUGUGCUCCAGCCUGGCCGACAGAGUGAGACUCUGUCUCACAAAACAAACAAACACAACAAAGGCAAAUAAAAUCGUUGUUUGAGCAGCCACAUGACGUUCAGUCUUAUGUAUUCUCCAGAUAUAUUAACAGAACUGUAAGUUUUCAAGCAG
Molecule: long non-coding RNA, 2288 nt
Filed under: Homo sapiens (human)
Lineage: Eukaryota; Metazoa; Chordata; Mammalia; Primates; Hominidae
Description: long non-coding RNA NONHSAT154937.1
Source: RNAcentral